This 440-nucleotide ribosomal RNA is filed under the name uncultured bacterium. RNAcentral describes it as "partial 16S ribosomal RNA". It matches the Rfam family "Bacterial small subunit ribosomal RNA", at positions 338 to 795 of the family's 1533-position model. The record is from RNAcentral.
CCUACGGGAGGCAGCAGUGGGGAAUAUUGCACAAUGGGGGAAACCCUGAUGCAGCGACGCAGCGUGCAUGAAGAAGUAUUUCGGUGUGUAAAGCUCUAUCAGCAGGGGAGAAAAUGACGGUACCUGACUAAGAAGCCCCAUCUAACUACGUGCAAGCAGCCGCGGAAAUACGUAGGGGGCAAGCGUUAUCCGGAUUUACUGGGUGUAAAGGGAGCGUAGACUGGGGAACAAGUCAGAAGUGAAAACCCGGUGCUCAACCCUGGGAGUGCAUUUGAAACUGUUUGGCUGGAGUGCAGGAGGGGUAAGCGGAAUUCAUGGUGUAGCGGUGAAAUGCGUAGAUAUUAGGAGGAACACCAGUGGCGAAGGCGGCUUACUGGACUGUAACUGACGUUGAGGCUCGAAAGUGUGGGGAGCAAACAGGAUUAGAUACCCUUGUAGUC